Molecule: ribosomal RNA, 253 nt
Filed under: uncultured bacterium
Lineage: Bacteria
Description: partial 16S ribosomal RNA
Rfam family: Bacterial small subunit ribosomal RNA
Source: RNAcentral
UACGAAGGGUGCGAGCGUUAAUCGGAAUUACUGGGCGUAAAGCGUGCGCAGGCGGUUUUGUAAGACAGGCGUGAAAUCCCCGGGCUUAACCUGGGAAUGGCGCUUGUGACUGCAAAGCUGGAGUGCGGCAGAGGGGGAUGGAAUUCCGCGUGUAGCAGUGAAAUGCGUAGAUAUGCGGAGGAACACCAAUGGCGAAGGCAAUCCCCUGGGCCUGUACUGACGCUCAUGCACGAAAGCGUGGGGAGCAAACAGG